RNAcentral lists this ribosomal RNA (214 nucleotides) under uncultured Lactobacillus sp. Its description in RNAcentral is "partial 16S ribosomal RNA". It matches the Rfam family "Bacterial small subunit ribosomal RNA", at positions 149 to 355 of the family's 1533-position model. The record is from RNAcentral. Lineage: Bacteria; Bacillati; Bacillota; Bacilli; Lactobacillales; Lactobacillaceae.
CCUGGAAACAGAUGCUAAUACCGGAUAACAACAGAUGAUGCCUAUCAACUGUUUAAAAGUAUGGUUCUGCUAUCACUCUUGGAUGGACCUGCAGUGCAUUAGCUAGUUGGUAGGGUAACGGCCUACCAAGGCGAUGAUGCAUAGCCGAGUUGAGAGACUGAUCGGCCACAUUGGGACUGAGACACGGCCCAAACUCCUACGGGAGGCAGCAGUC